UCACAGGAUUUUCAAUCGUUUUCACUAAUCUUCAAAAGCAAAAGUAAAACACGAUUACACCAAACGUAAGAAAGAGUUAUCAAUCUUACCGUUAAGCAAUAGUACUCUAUUGCUUAACAAGCCUAAGUAGAAAACAAUAUACCCACUAAGCUAUCCCACCUAGACAACCUAGACUUUUAACACAACACACCAAUUCCUUUAUAGAUUCAGGAAUGGUUUACAGUUUAAGAACAAGAGAAUGUAUUCCUAAAUAACUAAACGAAAAGCUCCAGAUAUUGCUGUUGUUCUUGGAAUAAUUCUGCCUUUGCUUUGUAGUAGCCUUUGCAAGAGUUCUUGAAAAGUUUUUAUUAAGUUGCAAAAACUGCCCAAAAAUAUUUAGGAAAGUGCCUUUUAUAUGAGCAAGUCACUUUCCCAAACUUCUUUGCCAUUGGCUGGAAAAGUCACACUUUCUGACGUCAUCGGGAAGUAUGCACCUACUUUCUGUACCGUCUCCAGCUGGCAAUCAACUGGCUCCUCAUCAUGAGAGUCUGGUACCUCUACUAGGUCCCUGAGUUUGUUUCAUCUACAAUACUCAAGCAAGAACCCUGCAACAGACAAUUAAGAAACUGGUACCUUUACAAGGUUCCCAGAUUUGUCAAAUCAUCAAAACUACAAAUAACAAAAAUAAAUACGAAAAUAAACCAAAAGCAACGAACAAUAGAUUACUUGUUGGCGAGUCCAUUGACGAUCAGUUUGUUCUCUACGUAAGAAAUAACCCUGUGAAGAAAGUUUCCUCCUCCCGCCAUAGCUGAUUCCUAC
Molecule: long non-coding RNA, 798 nt
Filed under: Solanum lycopersicum (tomato)
Lineage: Eukaryota; Viridiplantae; Streptophyta; Magnoliopsida; Solanales; Solanaceae
Description: long non-coding RNA (SLYC_LNC000818)
Source: RNAcentral